Molecule: ribosomal RNA, 492 nt
Filed under: uncultured bacterium
Lineage: Bacteria
Description: partial 16S ribosomal RNA
Rfam family: Bacterial small subunit ribosomal RNA
Source: RNAcentral
AGUGAACGCUGGCGGUAGGCCUAACACAUGCCAGUCGAACGGCAGCACAGUAAGAGCUUGCUCUUACUGGUGGCGAGUGGCGGACGGGUGAGGAAUACAUCGGCAUCUACUUUUUCUUGGGUGAUAACGUAGGGAAACUUACGCUAAUACCGCAUACGACCUACGGGUGAAAUCAGAGGAUCUUCGGACCUUGCGCGAUUCAAUUAGCCGAUGUCGGAUUAGCUAGUUGGCGGGGUAAAGGCCCACCAAGGCGACGAUCCGUAGCUGGUCUGAGAGGAUGAUCAGCCACACUGGAACUGAGACACGGUCCAGACUCCUACGGGAGGCAGCAGUGGGGAAUAUUGGACAAUGGGCGCAAGCCUGAUCCAGCCAUACCGCGUGGGUGAAGAAGGCCUUCGGGUUGUAAAGCCCUUUUAUUGGGAAAGAAAAGCAGCAGGUUAAUACCCCGCUGUUCUGACGGUACCCAAAGAAUAAGCACCGGCUAACUUCGUG